Molecule: long non-coding RNA, 635 nt
Filed under: Nicotiana benthamiana
Lineage: Eukaryota; Viridiplantae; Streptophyta; Magnoliopsida; Solanales; Solanaceae
Description: long non-coding RNA (NBEN_LNC025202)
Source: RNAcentral
AAUAUACAGUAAAAACUCAAUGUAUGUGUAUGGGAUUUGAAGACAAAUAGUCUUGUAGCUCAACACCCCCCCUCAAGUUGGAGGGGGAAACCACCUUCAACUUGGACAACAAAGGAUGUAGAAUGGUGCCAGGGAGUGGUUUGAUGAGAAGAUCAGCCAGCUGACGAGAGGUAGAAACAUGGGACAGAGUAAUGAGUCCAGCAGCCAAUAAAUCACGCACAAAAUGACAAUCUACUUCGACGAGAGGUAGAAACAUGGGACAGAGAAAUGAGACCAGCAGCCAAUAAAUCACGCACAAAAUGACAAUCCACUUCGAUAUGUUUGGUCCUCUCAUGAAAAACAGUAUUUUUGGCAAUAUGUAUAACAGCCUGACUGUCACAGAAAAUAGAAAAAGGGAGAGACACAGAAAUACAAGGAUCAGUUAGCAAGCGGGAAAGCCAAGACAAUUCAGCAACUACCUUACUGAGAGCCCUAUACUCAGCUUUAGCAGAAGAUAAAGAGACAACAGGCUGUUUCUUAUAUUUCCAACUAAUCAAGCAGCCACCCAAAAGAAUACAAAACCCAGUCACAGACCUGCGAGUAUCUGGACAGGCAGCCCAAUCACUGUCAGAAUAAGCAUGGACAGACAAAUCNNN